Molecule: ribosomal RNA, 396 nt
Filed under: uncultured bacterium
Lineage: Bacteria
Description: partial 16S ribosomal RNA
Rfam family: Bacterial small subunit ribosomal RNA
Source: RNAcentral
AUACGUAGGGGGCAAGCGUUAUCCGGAUUUACUGGGUGUAAAGGGAGCGUAGGCGGCGAAGCAAGUCAGAUGUGAAAAUCCAGUGCUCAACAUUGGACGUGCAUUUGAAACUGUUUAGCUAGAGUACCGGAGAGGUAAGAGGAAUUCCUAGUGUAGCGGUGAAAUGCGUAGAUAUUAGGAGGCACACCAGUGGCGAAGGCGGCCUGCGGGACGACAACUGACGCUGAGGCGCGAAAGCGUGGGGAGCAAACAGGAUUAGAUACCCUGGUAGUCCACGCUGUAAACGAUGAAUACUAGGUGUGGGGGGACUGACCCCCUCCGUGCCGCAGUUAACACAAUAAGUAUUCCACCUGGGGAGUACGAUCGCAAGAUUGAAACUCAAAUGAAUUGGCGGGG